RNAcentral lists this ribosomal RNA (497 nucleotides) under uncultured bacterium. RNAcentral's name for it is "partial 16S ribosomal RNA". It matches the Rfam family "Bacterial small subunit ribosomal RNA", at positions 28 to 507 of the family's 1533-position model. The record is from RNAcentral.
GAUGAACGCUGGCGGCGUGCCUAAUACAUGCAAGUCGAGCGAACAGACGAGGAGCUUGCUCCUCUGAUGUUAGCGGCGGACGGGUGAGUAACACGUGGAUAACCUACCUAUAAGACUGGGAUAACUUCGGGAAACCGGAGCUAAUACCGGAUAAUAUAUUGAACCGCAUGGUUCAAAAGUGAAAGACGGUUUUGCUGUCACUUAUAGAUGGAUCCGCGCCGCAUUAGCUAGUUGGUAAGGUAACGGCUUACCAAGGCGACGAUGCGUAGCCGACCUGAGAGGGGGAUCGCCCACACUGGAACUGAGACACGGUCCAGACUCCUACGGGAGGCAGCAGUAGGGAAUCUUCCGCGAUGGGCGAAAGCCUGACGGAGCAACGCCGCGUGAGUGAUGAAGGUCUUCGGAUCGUAAAACUCUGUUAUUAGGGAAGAACAAAUGUGUAAGUAACUAUGCACGUCUUGACGGUACCUAAUCAGAAAGCCACGGCUAACUACGUG